GUCGGGAAUUUUGGGCAAUGGGCGAAAGCCUGACCCAGCAACGCCGCGUGAGGGAUGAAGUAUUUCGGUAUGUAAACCUCGAAAGAAUGGGAAGAAUAAAUGACGGUACCAUUUAUAAGCUCCGGCUAACUACGUGCCAGCAGCCGCGGUAAUACGUAGGGAGCAAGCGUUGUUCGGAUUUACUGGGCGUAAAGGGCGCGUAGGCGGCGCGGUAAGUCACUUGUGAAAUCUCUGAGCUUAACUCAGAGCGGCCAAGUGAUACUGCUGUGCUAGAGUGCGGAAGAGGCAACCGGAAUUCUUGGUGUAGCGGUGAAAUGCGUAGAUAUCAAGAGGAACACCUGAGGCGAAGGCGGGUUGCUGGGCCGACACUGACGCUGAUGCGCGAAAGCCAGGGGAGCAAACG
Molecule: ribosomal RNA, 403 nt
Filed under: uncultured bacterium
Lineage: Bacteria
Description: bacterial SSU rRNA
Rfam family: Bacterial small subunit ribosomal RNA
Source: RNAcentral